UCAAACAACCCAUUUUAAGCCUAAUUUUCAGACCUAGCCCAUAAUUCCCAGACCCAUACCCCCUAGCCUAAAAAACCCUAUAAAACAAACCAAACCUAAUUUCCUAGACUCUAAGACCUAUACACACAGUAAUCAGCCGAUAACACCGGAGACCUAUACAAACCGCUGUUUCCUAAUCAAAGAGAACGGAUUCUGGGCUUCUCCUUCACAUUUUUCAAGAGGUAGCUUCAUCUUCAAAAAAGAGAAAACAAAAAAGAAGCGCAGCCAUUUUUUGAACUUUAGAGACCAAACGCUAAAGACCAAAAAAAAGGUUUAAGCACAAAAGGCAUAGUUGAUGCUCUCUUCGUCUUCCUCCUCCAGUAGCUCGCCGGAAAAACGAGUUCCAGCAGCUCAACGGAUUAACAAGCUCCAGCCGAGCAACAACGAAAUAGGACACCCAAAAAACCAGUCCACCCCCUGAACCUCUGCGACACCGACCAGCUACGAUCACAACGACCCCAUUCCUUGCUUUUCCUCACUCUGUUUCGCUGCUGAAUACUCUAGCGACAGAUCUGGCCAGAUUUUACAUUUUUUCGGCGACCUCCAUUAAAAUUGAUGGAGUUUCAUUUGAGUCGAGUUUUUCCGGUUUGAGGUUCGGUCAAUAUCUCGUUCUGUUUAUUCAUCAGGCAAAAACUCUUAAUUCAUUUGAUCUUCAAUUAAAAUUCUUCAAGUUCGUUGAAUCUUCAAGUUCACUUUUUGUGUUGAUCUAUUUUUUAUUGUCAGAAGACCUCUAAUUCAGUUGUUAUCAUAUUGAAACAGCAAUAAAAAAGGCACGUAUCUUUGUUAUAAAUUGGAUUUCCGUUUAUGUAUUAAAUGAAACUUUUGUUAUCAAGUUUAACAUUGAAGUCGUCUUUAGAAAAUCAUGUGGUUUUGUUCUUAUUUGCGUGUUUGUUGUGUGAAACCUCUGUUUUGGUUUGGAGCUGGUAAUAAUUAACAAUCCUUAGGUUGUUCUUUGGUUUGUAUGUUUCUGUUGAUAGCUGACCUGAUUGCAACUUUUGUAUCUUUGAUUUAUGCAGAUGCUGACUGACAACCACUGUGCUCAUUUAUAGGCGUUCAUCUUCUCAUCUGUUUCAUUUUGUUUUGUUGAUUUUGGUGCUGGCACCUUGAGUACCUUUUCUAGGUCUUGAGGUUUACUGGAAAUAUCUUAGAUUGAGCUGACAUAUUAUUUGCCCUUGUUCUUUUUAUGAUUACAAUUCUAAAAACCAAUUCGAAGUAUGCAUUCGCGCAACUUCGAUCCAACUUUUUCUUAAUAAAAAAUUAUUAUUAAUGGACC
Molecule: long non-coding RNA, 1312 nt
Filed under: Nicotiana tabacum (common tobacco)
Lineage: Eukaryota; Viridiplantae; Streptophyta; Magnoliopsida; Solanales; Solanaceae
Description: long non-coding RNA (NTAB_LNC003986)
Source: RNAcentral